AGGCUCCUGACAUAUGGCGAAUUUUCUAAGAUCUUUCUUUUCUCCACCUAACCACCCUCUCUUUACUACUACGAAACUCUCUUCUUCUUAUCCCCAUUUUCCUCCACACUCUUCUAUGCUCAAAGCACUUCUCCACUAUUCAGCUACCCGUACUGUUAAGUUCUCCUCGUUGAUACGGAGAGACUGCCCUUGUCCAAGCUCCUUCUUGGCCUCAUUUUGUCGGCCUUUACCUUUCUUGAUCGUUUUCCCUCGCUCUGUCGUUGCUUGUUUUCACAGGCACACGGUCGUCGCUAUGGCUGAACGUCCUACAGAAACCACGUCCACUUCUCACAAGUACACCAAUCGUCUUGCUGCUGAGCACAGCCCUUAUCUCCUCCAACAUGCCCAUAACCCGGUUGAUUGGUAUCCGUGGGGGGAAGAAGCUUUCGCUGAAGCGCGCAAAAGAGACGUGCCCAUCUUUUUAUCGAGUAAUUCAUAUUUCUCUCUUGCUUCUUGUGUUUUAAUAAUUUGGGAAAUUGAUAGCUAAUAUGAAUCAUUUUUUUGUUAUUUGUUUAUGGGUUCUCUGGUGCUUUCUCUUUGAAGUUGGAUACAGCACCUGCCAUUGGUGUCAUGUUAUGGAGGUGGAAUCUUUUGAGGAUGAAGGAGUCGCCAAAUUGUUGAAUGAUUGGUUUGUUAGUAUUAAGGUCGAUCGAGAGGAAAGACCCGACGUUGAUAAGGUUUAUAUGACAUUCGUGCAAGCAUUAUAUGGUGGUGGAGGAUGGCCACUUAGCGUCUUCCUUUCACCUGAUUUGAAACCUUUGAUGGGUGGGACUUACUUCCCCCCAGAUGAUAAUUAUGGAAGACCAGGAUUUAAGACCAUACUCAGAAAGGUGAAGGAUGCUUGGGACAACAAGAGAGAUAUGCUUACUAAGAGUGGAGCCUUUGCUAUUGAGCAGCUAUCUGAAGCAUUAUCAGCAAGUGCAAGUACAAACAAAUUGCCAGAUGGACUUCCACAAAAUGCUUUGCAAUUAUGUGCAGAGCAAUUUUCUCAAAGUUAUGAUUCCAGGUAUGGUGGAUUUGGAUCUGCUCCAAAGUUUCCGAGACCAGUUGAGAUCCAACUGAUGCUUUACCAUUCAAAAAAAUUGGAGGAUACUGGGAAACAGGGUGAAGCAAAGGAAGGUCAGAAGAUGGUUUUCUUUAGCUUGCAAUGCAUGGCAAAAGGAGGCAUUCAUGAUCACAUUGGAGGUGGCUUUCACAGAUAUAGUGUGGAUGAACGAUGGCAUGUUCCUCAUUUUGAGAAAAUGCUGUAUGAUCAAGGGCAACUUGCUAAUGUUUACUCGGAUGCUUUCUCCAUUACCAAUGAUGUCUUCUAUUCACUUGUAUCCCGGGAUGUUCUUGAUUAUUUGAGGAGAGAGAUGAUAGGACCAGAGGGUGAAAUCUUUUCAGCAGAGGAUGCUGACAGUGCUGAGCAUGAAGGUGCUAAAGAGAAAAAGGAGGGAGCCUUUUAUGUAUGGACCAGUAAAGAGAUUGAUGACAUCCUUGGAGGGCAUGCAACACUUUUUAAGGAUCAUUAUUACAUAAAGCUGCUGGGAAAUUGUGACCUUUCUAGGAUGAGUGAUCCUCAUAAUGAAUUUAAGGGGAAAAAUGUGCUUAUUGAAUUAAAUGAUACCUCGGCAUUGGCAUCAAAACUUGGCUUGCCCAUCUCAAAAUAUCUUGAUAUUCUGGGUGAAUGUAAGCAAAAGCUUUUUGAUGUGAGAUCAAAACGUCCUAGGCCACAUUUGGAUGAUAAGGUAAUUGUAUCAUGGAAUGGGCUUGCAAUUUCAUCUUUUGCAAGAGCUUCUAAGAUUCUCAAGCGAGAAACUGAUGGCACAAAAUACCACUUUCCUAUUGUUGGCUGUGAUGUAAGAUUUUACCAUCUUUUAUCUGGUCUGUUUAAUCUAUAACUGGUUAUGUAACAAUAAUAUUUACAAUAUCUGGAAGAAAGUUCUCUGGUAGUACCAUCAUGCUCAUGGUUUGAUCAUACUUAUUAAUUUAUAGCCAUGUUCUGUGCAUCUGGCUUUUGAAGUUCUGCUUAUUCAUUCAAACAUUUUCUUCCUUUAUAUCAGUUUAAAACAUGGAAUGAGAGCUUAAUGAUGAACUAAUUAGUUCUACAUCCUCAUUAACCAUUAUCAAUUGGAAAAUUAUAUUUGCCUAUGAUUGUUGGUGCAAUCCUAGCUUGGGCAGCAAGUUUUGCGUUUGUAAACAACUCAUUUUCCCAAAACUUGUUUAAACAAGCCCCUAUCUCUACAAGUUCUGCGCAUGAAAUCAUUGUUUUUGGAGGCCAUUUUGAUGCACUGGAGAAUUUUCUUUCUGUUGUUGAUUACACUCAUUCUACACUAGACCCGUUAGGGGUAUGAGGCCUUUGUCUGGACUUAAUUCUCUGAAAAUUAGGCUUUUGCCGCUUGUAUAUGUGAAAUUUGAACUGAACUCAAAAUCUUUGGAUGAUAUGUUGUAUUGUUGUUACAUUCUGAUCAUUCUGCAUGUUCAACUCUGCAAAUUCCAGCCCAAGGAGUACUUAGAAGUCGCAGAGAAGGCAGCAACAUUUAUCAGAAGACAUCUUUAUAAUGAACAAACAUGCAGGCUACAGCACAGCUUUAGGAAUGGUCCAUCUAAAGCACCUGGGUUCUUGGAUGAUUACGCUUUUCUUAUUUCUGGGCUGCUGGAUCUUUACGAGUUUGGUGGUGGAAUCUACUGGCUAGUGUGGGCAACUGAAUUACAGAAUACACAGGUAAAAGCUGCCAGUGUUCAUUUCUCCAUGUUAAAUAGCAGUUGAUAAAUGGCAUGUAAUUGCAAAUUUGGUUGGUAACAUAUUUCCAGGAUGAAAUAUUUCUUGAUAGAGAGGGAGGAGGCUAUUUUAAUACCCCAGGGGAAGACCCUUCAGUUCUCCUCCGAGUAAAGGAGGAUCACGAUGGAGCAGAGCCCUCUGGAAACUCUGUUUCUGCAAUUAAUCUUAUAAGAUUGGCUUCUAUGGUGGCUGGGAGUAAAUCUGAUUAUUACAGGCAGAAUGCAGAGCAUCUGCUGGCGGUUUUCGAGACAAGACUAAAAGACAUGGCUAUGGCAGUUCCUUUGAUGUGUUGUGCAGCAGACUUGAUCUCUGUGCCUUCCCGGAAGCAAGUUGUCUUAGUUGGCCACAGGGAGUCCUUGGAGUUUGAUAAUAUGCUGGCUGCUGCUCAUACAUUAUAUGAUCCCAACAAAACAGUAAUUCAUAUAGAUCCCACUAAAAAUGAAGAAAUGGAAAUUUGGGAAGACAAUAAUAGCAACAUAGCACUCAUGGCAAAGAAUAAUUUUGUUCCAGAUAAGGUGGUGGCUCUGGUCUGUCAAAACUUCACUUGUAGCCCUCCAGUCACCGACCCUAAAGAUCUGGAAGCUUUGCUUUCCAAGAAACCUGCAGCUGUAUGAAGAUCCGAUUGGUACAAGUAUCAAUGGAAAUUGUAGGCAGAUGUUUAUGGUCAUUCUCUCUAGUUGGAAGUAAUGAUGGGGCUAGGGGAUAGAAUUGAUGUAGAUCAUGUACUGUAGUUGAGGUAACUUGGCAGUCCUUUAAUUAAGCAGUAAGUGAUGUGGUUUUGAUUUGAUUUGUGAUAAGUAAGUCCAUAUAGUUCACGUUUUAUAUGUUAACAGAAAUUCUAAUAAGAAUUUAAAAUUUUUUUAUUAUGA
RNAcentral lists this unclassified non-coding RNA (3672 nucleotides) under Hevea brasiliensis (rubber tree). The record is from RNAcentral. Lineage: Eukaryota; Viridiplantae; Streptophyta; Magnoliopsida; Malpighiales; Euphorbiaceae.